This 479-nucleotide ribosomal RNA is filed under the name uncultured bacterium. RNAcentral's name for it is "partial 16S ribosomal RNA". It matches the Rfam family "Bacterial small subunit ribosomal RNA", at positions 28 to 507 of the family's 1533-position model. The record is from RNAcentral.
GAUGAACGCUAGCGGGAGGCCUAACACAUGCAAGCCGAGCGGUAGAGUUUCUUCGGAAACUUGAGAGCGGCGCACGGGUGCGUAACACGUGUGCAACCUACCUUUAUCUGGGGGAUAGCCUUUCGAAGGGAAGAUUAAUACCCCAUAAUAUAAUGAUUGGCAUCAAUUAUUAUUGAAAACUCCGGUGGAUAGAGAUGGGCACGCGCAAGAUUAGAUAGUUGGUGAGGUAACGGCUCACCAAGUCAAUGAUCUUUAGGGGUCCUGAGAGGGAGAUCCCCCACACUGGUACUGAGACACGGACCAGACUCCUACGGGAGGCAGCAGUGAGGAAUAUUGGACAAUGGGUGAGAGCCUGAUCCAGCCAUCCCGCGUGAAGGAUGACGGUCCUAUGGAUUGUAAACUUCUUUUGUACAGGGAUAAACCUACCCUCGUGAGGGUAGCUGAAGGUACUGUACGAAUAAGCACCGGCUAACUCCGUG